Molecule: long non-coding RNA, 841 nt
Organism: Gossypium raimondii (Peruvian cotton)
Lineage: Eukaryota; Viridiplantae; Streptophyta; Magnoliopsida; Malvales; Malvaceae
Exons: 2
Source: RefSeq, a predicted model, not a curated record
AAUAAGGCAUAUAGCAAAGCAGGGAAGUGAUGGGCCUUCAUAAAAUCAUAAUACAAAAGAUUUGUGGGAGCCUGCCUGGGAGAAGAGUUCUACAAUGAGAAAUAAACAACAAAAGGAAAAGGAAAAGAAUAAGUCCCCUCCUUUUGUUUUGUUUAUAUUUAGUAUAUGGCAUUAUUAUUACCUGUUAUUAUUUAAAUGUAAUUAUACUUUUUGUUGAGCAAUGCCAUUUCCUUUUCAGCUUAUAUAAAGCCGUGGCCUUCCACUUACAGAUCAAUAACAUGCUUUGCGAUGAAUUUUGCUGUAGUGAUAAGUGAUAGAAACGUAAGAGCAAAUACCAAAGAGAAAAUGGUGGAGGCUCCCCCUUCUUCUAGUUCAUACCCUCCAUCCUCUCUGUUUGACUCUCCUUCAUCUCGGGAAGCUGGAGAGCAGGAGUUUUAGGGUUUAUUAUGAGAAGCUGAUGUUUAAGUUUCAAGUUUAAAGCUCUCAGGAAAGGCAACGCGUGGCUGGAUAAGUUUGUAAAGCUCACGCUCUACGACAAAACCUUCUUGGGUCUUCCUUUCUAACUGCAACAAGUUCCUAGACAUGUGUCCCCAGUUACAUGUCCAAUUACCAAUAUAUCCGUUUAUGUUGUUUUUAAAUGUUGUACCCGAGAUUUGCAAAUCUGUGGCACACUUGUCUUUGUUCUAAGCUGUCUUUGGUGGUUAUAAAUGUCUCCUCUGUAUUCCUUCCGACAUGUACUCCUUGGCAGAGUGGAAACGUAGUUUACAUUAGUACAUGUGUUGCGGUGUAUUUGAUUAUGGUUUUGGUGGAUGUGAAGUGAAAUCACUGCUUUCUUUGUUCA